This 253-nucleotide ribosomal RNA is filed under the name uncultured bacterium. RNAcentral describes it as "partial 16S ribosomal RNA". It matches the Rfam family "Bacterial small subunit ribosomal RNA", at positions 524 to 776 of the family's 1533-position model. The record is from RNAcentral.
UACGGAGGGUGCAAGCGUUAUCCGGAAUCACUGGGUUUAAAGGGUGCGUAGGCGGCGCAAUAAGUCAGAGGUGAAAGCCUGCAGCUCAACUGUAGAAUUGCCUUUGAUACUGCUGCGCUUGAAUCAGGUUGAGGUUGGCGGAAUGUGGCAUGUAGCGGUGAAAUGCAUAGAUAUGCCAGAGAACACCAAUUGCGAAGGCAGCUGACUGGGCCUGAAUUGACGAUGAGGCACGAAAGAGUGGGGAGCAAACAGG